Onychostoma macrolepis is the source of this 1034-nucleotide long non-coding RNA. RefSeq lists it as uncharacterized. NCBI's taxonomy places the organism in Eukaryota, Metazoa, Chordata, Actinopteri, Cypriniformes, Cyprinidae. The record is from RefSeq and is a predicted model, not a curated record. The transcript is spliced from 4 exons.
UUAAUGUUAACAUGAUCAACACAUGCCUUUAAAUGAAAACGAAAUAUAUAUAUAUAUAAAAUUAUGUUUAUUAUAAAUAUAAUAAAACAUAAUCACAAAAGGGGCACUUUGUGUUUCAUACUAUUUCUGUCAAAUGAGAAAAACAAUAUCAAAAUGGCCUUUAAGUUUGAAAUUAAAAAGACGUUCGUCACGUUUACGCCCAGUAAGACUUUCACCAACAGAGUGGAAACGCCUUUUUCUUGCAGGAAGCAUAGUGUGGUUACAUUCGAUGACAGGACAAAUCAAAUCCGUCGAGCGAUUUUUAACUGCACGUGCCAGACAAAAUGUAGCACAAAGGGAAAUGCCUCCGCUAACAAUCCUAAUUAUCCAGCAGUCCCGAAACAUGUCAAUACGGUUCUGCGACAUGUGAUUCGCUCGAGUGUUUGUAAACAUGCGUCAAAAGCAUGUGAUUCUGCUGACGGCAUACUGCGCUCAAGACGGACAACCAAUCAGAACACGGGGGUGUGCGCCCUGGGCGGGGCCUCGCUGUGGUUCUGUGGAAAAUUCGAUGUGCGCGGCAUCAAGACGCUUUAUAAUUGAAAAAAGAAGUUCAAGCCGAUAGCAUCCAUCGUUUGACAUCGCCAACAGACAGAAUAAAGACACGUCUGUUCAGGUGAUUCUUAGAAAGAAGAAAAAUCAAGGUGGGGAUUGCAGGGAGGAGGGUUUUCUGCUGCGACAAAGGUGUGCGUGCGUGUGGUUGGCCCGGACUACUUGGCGUGGCGAAGAUAGGAUGUUACGCAGUUCUUAUUUACAACCCAGUGUGCUUUGCCCCGAGCCGUGUAAUGUUUUCAUCUCGAUCAGACAGUCAGAAUACCGCCUCACAGUGAAUCCGGGAUGACGAGCAACCACAACACUGCAAAGAUAAACUGGAGCAGAGAGGAGGAUUAUCAUUGGCUGGUGGUGUAUCAUUAGACAGCGGGCUGCCGCGCGCCCUGCCAACUGACCUACCUCAGUUCCACACAGAUUGAGAUGUCAUACGGAGGAGCAUGCUGGGA